RNAcentral lists this ribosomal RNA (379 nucleotides) under uncultured bacterium. Its description in RNAcentral is "bacterial SSU rRNA". It matches the Rfam family "Bacterial small subunit ribosomal RNA", at positions 964 to 1346 of the family's 1533-position model. The record is from RNAcentral.
AAGAACCUUACCUAGGCUUGACAGUUAGAGAAAACUGGCAGAGAUGUCAGGUCCGCAAGGGCUCUAAAACAGGUGGUGCAUGGCUGUCGUCAGCUCGUGUCGUGAGAUGUUGGGUUAAGUCCCGCAACGAGCGCAACCCUCGUCGUAUGUUGCCAGCAUUAAGUUGGGGACUCAUACGAGACUGCCGGGGUCAACUCGGAGGAAGGUGGGGAUGACGUCAAGUCAUCAUGCCCCUUAUGCCUAGGGCUGCACGCAUGCUACAAUGGCUGGUACAAAGGGCUGCGAUACCGCAAGGUGGAGCGAAUCCCAUAAAGCCAGUCUCAGUUCGGAUUGGGGUCUGCAACUCGACCCCAUGAAGUCGGAGUCGCUAGUAAUCGCA